GAUCCUGGCUCAGGAUGAACGCUGGCGGCGCGCCUAACACAUGCAGGUCGAGGGGCAGCGGGGAGUAGCAAUACUCCGCCGGCGACCGGCGCACGGGUGCGUAACGCGUAUGCAACCUACCUUUAACAGGGGCAUAACACUGAGAAAUUGGUACUAAUUCCCCAUAACAUUCGAGAAGGCAUCUUCUUGGGUUAAAAACUCCGGUGGUUAAAGAUGGGCAUGCGUUGUAUUAGCUAGUUGGUGAGGUAACGGCU
This 254-nucleotide ribosomal RNA is filed under the name uncultured bacterium. Its description in RNAcentral is "partial 16S ribosomal RNA". It matches the Rfam family "Bacterial small subunit ribosomal RNA", at positions 15 to 265 of the family's 1533-position model. The record is from RNAcentral.